Long non-coding RNA from Lutra lutra (Eurasian river otter), 3295 nucleotides. RefSeq lists it as uncharacterized. The transcript is spliced from 5 exons. The record is from RefSeq and is a predicted model, not a curated record. NCBI's taxonomy places the organism in Eukaryota, Metazoa, Chordata, Mammalia, Carnivora, Mustelidae.
UUUUGCUCCUUAAGGUCUGCGAUGCUUCAAGAAGCAGCAGCCAUCUUGCCAGCCUGGGGAGGAAGCCGGAAGAGAGGAAGAGGAUGGGGGGCCGGGGUGUGACAUUACAGAGCCACCAUACUAAGCCCUUGCAGGGGCGGAAAAUUUUCCCUUCCUCCCUUCCAGAUUCUGUGAGUGCUUGUCAGUGAUAGGACCUACCAGAAGCUGACGAGGAGGUCUGGGAAGUGUAGUUUUUCGGCUGCCAAGCACUGUACAUAGAAGGGAAAAUAGCAAGAUAUUGCCGUGGAAACGUCAAUUCCCCAGGCCAAGAAGACCCCCCGUUUCCCAGAAGCUACUUCUACAAACUCUAGAAUAUAGAUGAGCCUGGCCCAAUCACACGCUACGUCCGGACCCAGCGGAUUUGCAGCACACCUGCAUUGGAGCAGUCUCCUCCGUCUUGGCCAUGGUCUCCGUUCCCACCAUCCACUAAGGAGCAUCUGAUUAAGUGGCAUUGCUGUAUCCACAUGCGAUUUACAAAAAUAAUAUUUUAUCCUCACCAUCAGUACUGUUUGUGGCUGCGCAAUGGAUAGGAAUAAUUUCAGAAGGUUCCAGCUGGCCUUCCUCAAAAGGCACCGAUCCUCCAAUCAAAUGUCAAUGACCAAGUCUGGACCAAUGACGUUCUCUGUCAUGGGAAUUUGGAAUCAGAAAACUGAGAGUCUGAGUCAGGUGUACCCACAGGAUGAUGGGCACUUGACCUCAAAGGUCAUAGACAACUGGCCCUGACAUUGAUACCCAAGCAAACCUGGACCCCCACGAGGCUGUGAGAUCUGUAAGAUCAUCUGUUGUAAUUCUGUAGGAACACUCCUCUUAACUUCAGUUAGUUCAACAGGAUUUCUUUGCUUUGCAACCAGAGCUUUAAUUAAUAUAACCUUCCAGUUGCACAGCUCUAGCCUUCUGGUGCAAGUUUUCCUUCUUGACUCGGCAAAUGCCUGCUGAGUCUUCAUUACCUGGCUUCAACGUUGCCUCCUCCCUGAAGCCUUCCAUGAUAACUCCGUCCUCCUGAUCCUUCAAGACUCUGCUCAUAACCAUUAUAUUGUGGCGUCACUGAUCUAUCUAAAAACACUCCACUCCCCAGACCACCAGGUCCUCAAAGGGAGAGUCCCGUCUUAGUGCCCGCUACCCAGGAGGUCUUCAGUCAGUGUUUGCAGAAUUGCCUCAGUGACUCUGAGUUGGUUCUGGAAGCGGCCUGCCAUAGCACACCACGCUAUGUGCCACUCAAUCUUCCCGACACUCGAGGGGUUCUGAGUUUACGCUGACUCUGCUGACUUAUUUCACUCCAGUUCCAUCUUUGCUCAGUCCUCCCUGGUGUCCAGAAUUGCUCGGCUUGCUGGGUCCCUCCUGCUUUGUGCAAACUUCACUACCCUUGGAUCGGUGACAGUUCCAAGGCGACCCCCCCUGGGGCAGAGCACAUGCUGUUUCCCGGGGUUCUAGAACUCUUUGCUGAGUUUUGGCUCCUCUUAAUGGCUUUGUGUGGUUGCCCGGGGCCCUUGAUACCUGUGUGUCUGCUCCUGACAGCAUCCCCCACCCGAUCCCACCAUCUGUUUAUUUUGGCUGCAUCUCCUUCUUUAUAUCCCUCUUCUGAGAGACGGUGAAUAGCAGCUACUUCUCAUCAGCCAGAAGCCCUUGCUGCCUUGUCCAUCAGAGAAAAUUUGUCUCCGGAUCCGAGGCAGCUUUCUGACAUGGGAGAGGACGUCAGUGCUCAUUUGCUCGGAAAAAGCAACAACAACAAAACCUCUUGCUCUGCUUGGACCUUCUCUAUUUUAUGGAUUGCUGUGCCCCCAGCAAACCCACCAGGUUUCCCUGCCAACCACCGGCCAUAUAUCCAAGCUGUGGAUCCACCCCCUGGCAGCCUAGGGCAGGGCGUGGCGAGGCGAGAGUUUCACAGCUUUGGGGGCUUUAUUUGCUCUACUUUGUGCUCUCUGGUACACAGUGUCUUGAAAGAGGGGUUUCUGCUAGGACACCUGAUGCUCUAACCUCAGUACCGACAGGUGUAUCCCUAUCAGGGAUCGCCUAGGGGACCAGUGAUUUAAAUACACUGGGGCUGUGGCAACUUUGCCCCUCAAUAUUUCACUUUGCCGAUCUCUGCUUUCUGGUAUGAAGCAAAAAAAACAACUCAGGUUCAGCUCAGCCUUCCGAAUUUCAAAACGGACUCCCUUGCCUCCUUUGAACUACACCUCUCAUAUUGAUAGAUACGGCUUUUACCAGUUCUGGGAUUUUCAUGUGUCUUGGUCUGGAAUGGAGUCAGACCUUUUGGCUAAAAUAGCACCUUUCACAGUCGUGUGCCUGGGCUGUUUCUGAUCUUCAUGAUGGACUAGGGACGUCCACUCAGGACGGACUGUCUCAGAAAGGGCUCCUCGUUUCAGAGAAGCCCUGGAGAAAAGGAGCUCUUCUAUACUAAGUAACAUCGCAGACGGUCCCUUUGGCCUCUUGCUGUGGGGCAGGCAUGGAAUGAAAGAGGAAGACCGUCUCCAGCUAGGCUGAGAGCCACAAGUGAGUAGUGCAGGAGUGAAUGGCUCUCGUGUGGACUCUUCCUCUCCAUGUCUUGCUUCCUUGUUCAUUCAGAGAUCUCAGCACAUCAAAAUAUUAGUGAAGGAGAUAAUUUAACCUGGGGACAAAAUGACACCUCUUUAAACCUACUUACCAAUCAGACAGCUAGAAGUCGUUUGCAUCUGACCAUAAAUUGCCCCCCAAAAGCUGUUCUUUUAAAAUGUAAACCUAUCUCUGGGAUUUGGGGACAGCCUAAAAGUACAUAUAAUAGAAGAGAAAGAGCACUUUGCCAGGAGUCAGGGGCCUCUAUUUCUAAUGCUUGGCUCAUUACUAACGAUGUCACUUUGGGCAAAUCAUUCUAUUUCUCUGGCUUCAUUAGUGACCUCAGUGGGAGCAGUUUUAGUAGAAAAUCUGACAUCCUAAUUGCCAAAUCCAUAGGCUAAUUUUCAUUCCUCAUCCUACAUGACAACUCCAUUGCCUAUCACACUCUUGACUGCUCUUUCCUUCUCGAAACCGGCUCUGCUCUUGGCUCCUGGGACCCUGCCUCUGUGAAUCCUUCUUCCACUUCUCUCACAACCUGCUUCCCUCUCCUUGCACCCACCCGGGUCCCCCUUGCCUGAUGGGAUUCCCGAGAAUUUCCCUCCUCGCUCCCCUUCUCAUCACACAUCCAUUUCCUAAGUGAUUCAAUCCACUCCCUUGGAGCCCCCGUCUCUUUGCGGAUGACUGCCAUAUCUCUACUUCAGAGCUCUCUUGGUCUCUCUUCUGAAUG